AAUAAGAAUUCUUCGACGUCAUAAUAAUACUUGACAGUCUAUUGAAAUUAUAGCUACUUUAGCUGAAAUUAUUAACGAUCUUCGAACAGACCAUUCAACGACAGCAAUAUUUAUAUUUUAUAAAUCAUGCUUUAUUAGAGAAAAAAUCGUUCUACGAAGCUUGCAAAAAUACAACAAGAGUUCUUGGUCAUCUUAAAAUUAUCUGACAAGUCUUUACUGUUAUCCAACUUUCCACCAAUCAGCUGAAAUAUCGGAAUGAGCCCAGCUAGAUUUUCAGAGUUCAGAGUGAAACGAAUUAUGCACGAAAUAAACAUUUGUCAGUUGUCGCAGAAAAGGCCUAGAAAAAUAAAUCCUGUACGAAGCUCCGCAAUCUAGUUUCAAAAUUCUACGAACUGUAUUACGAUACUACGAGAAAUGAGGAAGGCCUAGAUACAUGUGGGAGGAGGGUUCGACAGGUUCGUUAGCAUCGACCGCGUCACGGACAAGUACCCGAAGACACAUCGAUCGGGGGCCGCAUCUAUUUCGAAGACGAGGUGACGUGCGAGGGCAGAAGAUCCCGCGGAGGCACCGACGAGAGGUCGGCGAUGCUCGCGAAGGUUAUGACACUCGUAGGAGGACAGACGAGGUCGAGAACAGAGGUUGUUCUCUC
Megalopta genalis is the source of this 649-nucleotide non-coding RNA. The record is from RefSeq and is a predicted model, not a curated record. NCBI's taxonomy places the organism in Eukaryota, Metazoa, Arthropoda, Insecta, Hymenoptera, Halictidae.